GACGAACGCUGGCGGCGUGCUUAACACAUGCAAGUCGAACGAAGUGGCGAACGGGAGAGUAACGCGUAAUCAACCUGCCCUUCAGAGGGGUACAACAGUUGGAAACGACUGCUAAUACCGCAUACUGAAGGAGGUGAUUGCGUCUGUUUAGCUAGUUGGCGGGGAAACGGCCAACCAAGGCGAUGAUAAGUAGCCGAUCUGAGAGGUUGAACGGCCACAUUGGGACUGAGACACGGCCCAGACUCCUACGGGAGGCAGCAGUAGGGAAUCGUCGGCAAUGGACGAAAGUCUGACGGAGCAACGCCGCGUGAGUGAUGACGGCCUUCGGGUUGUAAAGCUCUGUUGAUCGGGACGCGGUACCGGAAUAGAAAGCCACGGCUAACUACGUGCCAGCAGCCGCGGUAAUUC
Molecule: ribosomal RNA, 408 nt
Filed under: uncultured bacterium
Lineage: Bacteria
Description: partial 16S ribosomal RNA
Rfam family: Bacterial small subunit ribosomal RNA
Source: RNAcentral